GUGGCCUGGUCGAUGGCGACAUCGCCGGCUUCGAGCAGGCGGGAUGCGUUGCUAUGCGAGGUGCUCAUGUCGAUCUCCCCGGUUUGGCUGCCC
Molecule: transfer RNA, 93 nt
Filed under: Halomonas chromatireducens
Lineage: Bacteria; Pseudomonadati; Pseudomonadota; Gammaproteobacteria; Oceanospirillales; Halomonadaceae
Description: tRNA-Arg
Source: RNAcentral